RNAcentral lists this long non-coding RNA (702 nucleotides) under Homo sapiens (human). Its description in RNAcentral is "HSALNT0015037". The record is from RNAcentral. Lineage: Eukaryota; Metazoa; Chordata; Mammalia; Primates; Hominidae.
UAAGAGGAGGCCAGGGACUUCUACAAAGAACGUGAUGAGUGAUGUACCUGUCUAGCUAGACCAGAGAGGGACACAAGUGUUUCACAAAUAAGAGAAUGAAAAGGGAUGAAAUUUUGGACAUGGUGAUAUUUCAGAGAACAGACAUGAUUAUAGAGUCCAGUGUAUCAUUUUCUCCCAUGUCACUCCACUCAGAGAUCUUUUAGCAUAGCCCAGUACUCUGUUUCAAUAAAGUAGAAGAAAUGGAAAGACAGAAAGGGCAAGAUUUAAAAUGACAGUAAGUUCUCCAUACUUUCAUAGUUAAGAUACAAAGGGAGGUAUUAUCAAAGAGAAACACUGGGCCGGCGUGGUGGCUCAUGCCUGUAAUCCCAAAACUUUGGGAGGCCGAAGUGGGUGGAUCACCUGAGGUCAGGAGUUGGAGACCAGCCUGGCCAACAUAGUUGAAACCCCAUCUCUACUAAAAAUACAAAAAUUAGCCAGGUGUGGUGGUGGAUGCCUGUAAUCCCAGCUACUUGGGAGGCUGAGGCAGGAGAAUCACUUGAACCCUUGAGGCAGAGAUUGCAGUGAGCCGAGAUCAUGCCACUGCACUCCAGCCUGGGUGACAAAAGCGAAACUCUGUCUCAAAAACAAAACAAAAAAAAAAACAGAAAUGAGAGACCAGAAUGGAGGCUUUUUGACUCUAUAUGCUGGUAGAGCGGGUAUUGA